GAUGAACGCUGGCGGCGUGCCUAAUACAUGCAAGUCGAGCGAACAGACGAGGAGCUUGCUCCUCUGACGUUAGCGGCGGACGGGUGAGUAACACGUGGAUAACCUACCUAUAAGACUGGGAUAACUUCGGGAAACCGGAGCUAAUACCGGAUAAUAUAUUGAACCGCAUGGUUCAAUAGUGAAAGACGGUUUUGCUGUCACUUAUAGAUGGAUCCGCGCCGCAUUAGCUAGUUGGUAAGGUAACGGCUUACCAAGGCAACGAUGCGUAGCCGACCUGAGAGGGUGAUCGGCCAAACUGGAACUGAGACACGGUCCAGACUCCUAAGGGAGGCAGCAGUAGGGAAUCUUCCGCAAAGGGCGAAAGCCUGACGGAGCAACGCCGCGUGAGUGAUGAAGGUCUUCGGAUCGUAAAACUCUGUUAUUAGGGAAGAGCAAAUGUGUAAGUAACUAUGCACAUCUUGACGGUACCUAAUCAGAAAGCCACGGCUAACUACGUG
This 497-nucleotide ribosomal RNA is filed under the name uncultured bacterium. RNAcentral describes it as "partial 16S ribosomal RNA". It matches the Rfam family "Bacterial small subunit ribosomal RNA", at positions 28 to 507 of the family's 1533-position model. The record is from RNAcentral.